Non-coding RNA from Callithrix jacchus (white-tufted-ear marmoset), 768 nucleotides. NCBI's taxonomy places the organism in Eukaryota, Metazoa, Chordata, Mammalia, Primates, Cebidae. The record is from RefSeq and is a predicted model, not a curated record.
AGAGACAUUUAUAUAAGAAUAUGUGAUUUAGAGCAAAGCAGCUGGCGGAGCAGAAUAGAUCUUGAGGUCAGCCAUGUCAUCUGAGCCUCCCCCACCACCACAGCCCCCGACCCAUCACACUUCAGUCGUGCUGCUGGACACCCCUCGGACCCGCGAGCACUCACCAUACCCUCUGUGGGGCAGUGUGGUCCCGAGCCUACUGCCCACUCGCCAGAGGACAACCUUCUCAGCGACGGUACAGGCUUCACAGGGCCCCCCGUCUACAAAUGAGUCUGCAAAUGUUUGCUGAUCCAAGUGCCCUGGCUUCAUUACCCCAGCUGAUGGCAGCCCCAACAUCUUCCUGCAGGUCUCUGACAUGGAAGGGGAAUAUGUCUCAGGUGAAGGCGAUGAGGUCACCUAUAAGAUGUACUCCAUCCCACCCAAGAAUGAGAAGCUGCAGGCCGUGGAGGUUGUCAUUACACACCUGUCACCAGGCACCAAGCAUGAGACCUGGUCCAGGCACAUCAUCAGCUCCUAGGAGACGCUGGAAGCGCCCCUUCUCCUGUGCCUUUGGGAGACUUUUCAGGGAGGAGGCAGCAGACACUGGAGAUGACAUUCUUCCACAGGAGACGGGGCUUUGCCAGGGCAUGGCCCCUUUCAAGUAGCUCCUGGAGGAAGGUGUGUGGGGAGCAGAUGCUCCCAGCCAUCAGCACAGCCUCUGACCAUGGCAACAGCCUCUCACCAUCUGAAGAGCAUUAAAAGCAUUUAAAAAGGAAAAAAAAAAAAAAA